GAUGAAGAACGCAGCGAAAUGCGAUACUUGGCGUGAAUUGCAGAAUCCCGUGAACCAUCGAGUCUUUGAACGCAAGUUGCGCCCGAAGCCAUUAGGCCGAGGGCACGCCUGCCUGGGCGUCACACGUCGUUGCCCCCCCAUCUACUCCUUCGGGAUUGCGGGGGGCGGAUGAUGGCCUCUCGUGCGCCUCGUCGCGCGGUUGGCCUCAAUGCCAAGUCCUCGGCGACGCACGCCACGACAAUCGGUGGUUGCGAAACCUCGGUUGCCUGUCGUGUGCGGUCGUCGCGCAUCGAGGGCUCGAAAAAAUUGCCGGGCUUCGGCUCGACUUUCAACGCGACCCCAGGUCAGGCGGGGUUACCCGCUGAAUUUAAGCAUAUCAAUAAGCGGAGGA
This 391-nucleotide unclassified non-coding RNA is filed under the name soil metagenome. Its description in RNAcentral is "partial contains 5.8S ribosomal RNA, internal transcribed spacer 2, and large subunit ribosomal RNA". The stretch from base 1 to 122 matches the Rfam family "5.8S ribosomal RNA", at positions 35 to 154 of the family's 154-position model. The record is from RNAcentral.